GAUCCUCAACUACAUAAAGAGCAUGAUCCAGUUUGUGCAGUAUGUGAAGACCUUUCUUCACGUUGGUGAAGAAAGACCGUUGCAGUCAGUACCUUCUGACUGCAACGGUCAGAAGGUACUGACUGUUGCAAGGAAGGAGACACUCAAUACCAUGGAACUCUUAAAUCGCUUCAUUUCACCGAGUGAGGAUGCGGUAACACAUUUGCGCUAUUACUGUGAGGCCAUAAUGAUCUUGGGGCACUUCCAGAGACCAGGAGCAGUGGAAGGAAUGACAACAGCAGACUGGUUGGAAAGGAAGGAUUCUGAUGGCAGAGUCUGUGUUGGUGUCAGCAGGCACAAGACGACCACGAUGCAAAUAGCUACAUUUGCCCUGACUGGGGAGGAGGAGGCAAUAUUUCAGGCAUAUUUUGAACAUAUCCGCGCAAAGUCCGUCGACCCAGAAGUAGACGAGGACGGCAGAUUUUUCCUGUCCAAAUGGGGCCGGCCCAUUGCAAGUGCCACCAAUGUUGUGGCUCGUCUGCACGAGUAGAAAGUAACAACAGGAGGCCAUGCAUAUGCUGUGUGUACUGUGCAGAUCAAGAGGGUUGGGGAGAGAAAGAGAAACUGAAAUCAUUCAGUGCAGAGAGUGGAUGUGUCAUCUGAGAUUUCUGCUCCAUUGCAGCUACAAAUGUGAGAAUGUGACGAGUCGGGAGAUCAGGAGGGUUGUAGAAACGGAGGCGGCCAACACCUUCACAGAGGAGCAGCAGUCUGGUGUGGCCCACUACAUGGCCCAUUCAACCUCCGUUGCAAAGCAACAUUAUCGGAUGAGGACACUUCACGAGACUGUUGUCACUAGCAACCUGCUGCAGAGCUUAAGAGGAUCUUCUCCUGAGGAUUCAACUGACGGGAGGGCUGGUCAGUCACAGAAGAGAGGCAGAGAGUGAUUCGGAAGAGAAAGAAACAGAACAUGACGGCGUUUCUCUCCAAAUUCCCAGUAACAUUGAAUGGGCAGCCUCCCUGCAAGCGGAUCAGAGUCAGUGCUGGGUUCAGUGAAGGCAGGGAGCUGUAUGACAAGUGGAGGGUUAUGCAGCGUGGCAUGCGGGAGGAGCAUCUCUUGUCCGUGUUUGUGAGACGAGCACCCACGGUUCAGACUGUGGCAAGGCGCAUCGAGAAGGAGGGCUGGAGUGGCACGGCUUAUGAACCACUCAAAGAAAAGGUUCAAUGCAAAGCGCCGUCGCUGCACCAUCCUCCUCCUGGCCAGCAAGGACAUCGAAGUGGGUGAGGAGAUCCGCUUCGACUACGGCGUGUGGAGGCAGUCAUUCUCAGGGGAAGGUCUGCACCUGGAAUGGCUGGAUUCUUGAUCCAGCACCAGACAUCUCUUGUUGAUCAAGACGGAUCUGCUCUUAAGGCAUUUUUAGGGGGAACAAAUGUAAUAUAAAGAUGUUUUUCUUCUUUCUGCCAGUGCUGACAAGAAGAUGUAGGAGAGGUGGAACGAGGGGUAUGUAAAAAGUAUGUAAAGACCGAUACGUUACAGACGUAACGUACUAUAGCCAAGAUGCACAUGGCUGCUGUUAGCUAACAACGCAGCAACACAACGGAUAUUUAAUGCAACUUAUAACGUUACGUUAAAACCCUCGUUAUUUUUACGCUCUGAAUGCGCCGGCCUGUUCGAAACUUGGCUCGGGAACCGGAACCGGCGCAGAGCGCUGCCGGUGUGAAAGUCCUAUGAGUGAACUCCCAGUGAGACCUGAUGCCAAACGCAUGGCUGAGAAAAUAUUUGUAAUAUAUUUUAUUAAUAUUACCAUUCAUAAAAUACUGAGUCACUUUGACAAUAUGCAGAGCUGACGACAAGCACAUGUAUCCUGCUGCACUGAUGUGACACCAGAGAGGAGGAUUUACUUGGAUCUUGUCCACAUGGGAAGAUUUCUGUUGGUCAUAACAAUUAAAAUGAGAGAAUAAAGGGCGCUUUGUGUUUAUUCUUUUGUUUUUUAUUAUUUGUAGUAAGUGUAGUAAAAACGGGAGGCCACUGUGCAGAUCAAGGGGGUUAGGGGUUAAUGACGUAUACUGAGCCUUGCAUUCAAUAAAUAGAUAUGAUUAAGAGAAAAUGAAAUCAUUCAGUGCUGAGAGUGAAUGGAUUUGUGCUCCUUUGCAGCUUUGGAACUGGAGACGGCCAACCCUUUCUGAAGGGAGCAGGAGCAGCAGACUGGUGUGGCUCAGUACAUGGCCAACACAGAGACAUGUUUUGAUCUCUGUGUUAAAGGCAUUUUCAGGGGGGACAGACUGCAGCUGGAAUCUCAUGUAACUCCAGUUUAGAGAGAGGGAGGUCCUCUGUCCCCUCCACCAGUCCACCAAUGUCUUUGUAUGCAUGUCUGCUGUCCAAGAGAGGGUGCAGUGAGCACUGAUUCCUCAGGGCAUGUGUUGGGCUUAUCUUUGUUGGCCUUGUCCAGGUCGUUCUGUAAGUUUUGUCCCCUACACCACUCUCAUCAAUAGGAAUCUUCACGAUUUCACUGCAGAUGGGGCUCUGUAUAUCCUAAACCUCUCUCUGUUUUGGGAGCUCCCCUGUCCCCUCCACCAGUCCACCAGUGAGUGUCUUUGUAUGUAUGUCUGCUGUCCAAGAGAGGGUGCAGUGAGCACUGAAUCCACACUGAUUUGCUUCGUUGUUUAAACAUGGCCUGGCCUGUUACACGUGGAAAAUGCAGUAACUAGAUAAGCAUGUGGGACUUUUUUCAGUCAGCUUGGCUCAACAUAAAGACUAGAUAUUAGGUGACCUGGUGGCCAUGGCUCUCUAUGAAGCUCUGUAAUUGUCUCUUUUUGUGGUUUUACGAGGGUUUACUUGUAUGUGCAACAAAGCUACUGUAAGUAAUUUGCUUGUGGCCUAUUAAAGUAUGUCGAGGUCUAA
Molecule: long non-coding RNA, 2878 nt
Organism: Mugil cephalus (flathead mullet)
Lineage: Eukaryota; Metazoa; Chordata; Actinopteri; Mugiliformes; Mugilidae
Exons: 5
Source: RefSeq, a predicted model, not a curated record